RNAcentral lists this ribosomal RNA (429 nucleotides) under Pseudomonadota bacterium. Its description in RNAcentral is "Proteobacteria bacterium partial 16S ribosomal RNA". It matches the Rfam family "Bacterial small subunit ribosomal RNA", at positions 355 to 776 of the family's 1533-position model. Lineage: Bacteria; Pseudomonadati; Pseudomonadota. The record is from RNAcentral.
UGGGGAAUAUUGGACAAUGGGCGAAAGCCUGAUCCAGCCAUGCCGCGUGUGUGAAGAAGGUCUUCGGAUUGUAAAGCACUUUAAGUUGGGAGGAAGGGCAGUAAGCGAAUACCUUGCUGUUUUGACGUUACCGACAGAAUAAGCACCGGCUAACUCUGUGCCAGCAGCCGCGGUAAUACAGAGGGUGCAAGCGUUAAUCGGAAUUACUGGGCGUAAAGCGCGCGUAGGUGGUUCGUUAAGUUGAAUGUGAAAGCCCCGGGCUCAACCUGGGAACUGCGUCCAAAACUGGCGAGCUAGAGUAGGGCAGAGGGUGGUGGAAUUUCCUGUGUAGCGGUGAAAUGCGUAGAUAUAGGAAGGAACACCAGUGGCGAAGGCGACCACCUGGGCUCAUACUGACACUGAGGUGCGAAAGCGUGGGGGGCAAACAGG